This 105-nucleotide microRNA precursor is filed under the name Marmota monax (woodchuck). The record is from RNAcentral. Lineage: Eukaryota; Metazoa; Chordata; Mammalia; Rodentia; Sciuridae.
AUGGGAAUCAUCCAGGGAUCUUGUUACAAAGCAGAAUUAAGUUCAGCAAGUCUAGGGUGGGGCCUGAUAUUCUGCCUUUCUAUCAAUCUCCCAGGGGAUGUGCAC